RNAcentral lists this ribosomal RNA (293 nucleotides) under uncultured eukaryote. RNAcentral describes it as "partial 18S ribosomal RNA". It matches the Rfam family "Eukaryotic small subunit ribosomal RNA", at positions 6 to 308 of the family's 1831-position model. The record is from RNAcentral.
GGUUGAUCCUGCCAGUAGUCAUAUGCUCAUUUCGAAGACUAAGCCAUGCAUGUCUAAGUAUAAGUUGUUAUACAACGAAACUGCGAACAGCUCAUUAAAACAAUUAUAAAUCUAAGUGGAUUUUACUGCUACACGGAUACCUGUGGUAAUUCUGGAGCUAAUACGUGAUUAAACAUCCAUUUGGAUGUCACUUAUUAGAUAAGAACCAAACUGUGCUUGCGCAGAAUUCUGGUGAUCCAUAAUAAGGUCGUGAAUCGCAUGGUGAAUGCCGGCGAUAUUCCACCUGAGUUUUU